GGGGGAGUGAGGGUGUGCUGGAGGUUUAUGUAAACAGAGUCAAAGAGCAAAUGGCCGGUCUGUGCAGAGGACACCAACCCAGGCACUCCAGUGACCCCUCGCACCACUACCUCAGAAGCCAUCAGUCUGAUUAGUCUUCUCCUCCUGGAGGGGAUUGGGAUGGAGGUGAGAAAAAGGCCACUCCAGAAGAGCAGCCUUCCCUGCUGCUUUGAUGGUGUCCGCAUAAAUGUUAAGAGAGAAAGAGAGAAAGGAAAAUAACCAAUGUCGUUUUCUCCAUUGUCUCUGUACAGCAAGGUUUAGUAAUCUUCAAAGUCGUAACAAAGAAAACAAAUCGAAGCUAGAGUUUGUGAGGGCAUCGGUGAGAAGGCAGAUGUCCUAAUCAAUCUGCCUAGAACCAGGUGAGAUGCUCUCUGGGACAGUGAAGGAAUCUGUGCAUAUGCUCUGAGGACUUAGAAGUUGGAAAUGGGCUGUUGGCCCAUUGGAACCAACCGCACAGUGGUGCAAGAAGUUUGCAGAGAUCUGAGUAAGAGUGAGGCGCUGGGAGAGGCCUUCUGUCUGAUCUGUAGAGUCCUCAACAAGAGGUGGGCCUGGAGGCCCCGCUGGCGGUAAAUCAGCGGAAGGCAGCAGAACUCUCAUGUCCUUGGGAACAAGAUGAAGACACAGGGACGGGGGAUGACUCAGCGCUGGAACCAUCCUCAGUGCCGUGAGCAAAAGCGUCGGAGUCGACCCAUCCAGGAGUCUCUGUGGCACCUCUCCAAGCUCUACCCAUCGCUGCCCUUCAUUGGUAAUUUGCACGUUAGCACAGAAGUGCGGGUGGAGUUAGAAAAUGACUCCAACCUGGGAGGGAGAGAUCGGCGCCCUAACUAAAGCUCUGACUUCACGUGUUGGCAUCUUGGUCUCAAACCAGCAGGUGGACUGAAUAAACGUAGAGAUGCAUUUCGAUUUUUUUUUUAAUAUGCAAAAACAGGAAAGGACAAGCAGGCAACAACUCAUAAAACAAACAAGGAACUUGGGAGCUUUGAUUGGUCAUACAUUAAAAUGAACUAACUACAAAAGAAUAGGGAUCAUUUAUUGGAUGGGAGUUAGGAGCACUGGCCCUGAAGCUAGCUUGUCAGUGUUUAGCUUCUGCCUCCUGGUUGGGCCACCUCCUCUUACCAGCAGGCCAGGGGACCCUGCCUGGAUCCUGGCUGGCUGGAUUUGACUGGCCGCCAGCAUGAGAAAUAAGCCAAUGAUAUAAAAAGAAAAUGAAUUUAACGCAGUUUGAUCCAGCUGGGGAAAAGCAGCUAGAUUGCUUCUCUCUAAGUCCUGUAGAAAUGGUUCCGAUUUAUAGAAACAAGCCAGGGAAUACACAUGCAGACUGCAGACUUAGCCGCGUUGGCCAGAGGGCUUGUCACUGUUCAGUCUCCCUGGCUCCCACCCCAGCCAGGCGGGAAUGGGGGGGGAGGGUGUUCUUACUAUCCAUUCUCAGCAUGAGGAAAUUUGGAGCUAAAACACUUCGGAGCUUUUAGUUUCAAAGGCGCUUUGUUUCAGUGGGACAAAUUCCUUUUUGCAACCACAUUCUGAAUAAUACUAUUUAGUAGGGUUCUUUUGAAUAUCCAAUGAGAUG
This 1606-nucleotide long non-coding RNA is filed under the name Marmota monax (woodchuck). The record is from RNAcentral. Lineage: Eukaryota; Metazoa; Chordata; Mammalia; Rodentia; Sciuridae.